GAUGAACGCUGGCGGCGUGCCUAAUACAUGCAAGUCGAGCGAACAGACGAUGAUCUUGCUCCUCUGACGUUAGCGGCGGGCGGGUGUGUAACACGUGUAUAACCUACCUAUAUUACUGGUAUAACUUCGGGAAACCGGAUCUAAUACCGUAUAAUAUAUUGAACCGCAUGGUUCAAUGGUAAAAGACGGUUUUGCUGUCUCUUAUCGAUGGUUCCGCGCCGCAUUAGCUAGUUGUUAAGUUAACGGCUUACCAAGGCAACGAUGCGUAGCCGACCUGAGAGGGGGAUAGGCCACACUGGAACUGAGACACGGUCCAGACUCCUACGGGAGGCAGCAGUAGGGAAUGUUACGCAAUGGGCGAAAGCAUGACGGAGCAAGGCCGAGUGAGUGAUGAAGGUCUUCGGAUCGUAAAACUCUGUUAUUAGGAAAGAACAAAUGUGUAAGUAAAUAUGCACGUAGUGACGGUAACUAAUCAGAAAGCCACGGCUAACUACGUG
RNAcentral lists this ribosomal RNA (497 nucleotides) under uncultured bacterium. Its description in RNAcentral is "partial 16S ribosomal RNA". It matches the Rfam family "Bacterial small subunit ribosomal RNA", at positions 28 to 507 of the family's 1533-position model. The record is from RNAcentral.